RNAcentral lists this ribosomal RNA (427 nucleotides) under uncultured Burkholderia sp. RNAcentral's name for it is "bacterial SSU rRNA". It matches the Rfam family "Bacterial small subunit ribosomal RNA", at positions 355 to 774 of the family's 1533-position model. Lineage: Bacteria; Pseudomonadati; Pseudomonadota; Betaproteobacteria; Burkholderiales; Burkholderiaceae. The record is from RNAcentral.
UGGGGAAUUUUGGACAAUGGGCGAAAGCCUGAUCCAGCAAUGCCGCGUGUGUGAAGAAGGCCUUCGGGUUGUAAAGCACUUUUGUUCGGGAAGAAAAGGACUGGGCUAAUAUCCUGGUCUGAUGACGGUACCGGAAGAAUAAGCACCGGCUAACUACGUGCCAGCAGCCGCGGUAAUACGUAGGGUGCAAGCGUUAAUCGGAAUUACUGGGCGUAAAGCGUGCGCAGGCGGUUUGUUAAGACAGAUGUGAAAUCCCCGGGCUUAACCUGGGAACUGCAUUUGUGACUGGCAAGCUAGAGUAUGGCAGAGGGGGGUGGAAUUCCGCGUGUAGCAGUGAAAUGCGUAGAUAUGCGGAGGAACACCGAUGGCGAAGGCAGCCCCCUGGGCCAAUACUGACGCUCAUGCACGAAAGCGUGGGGAGCAAACA